GAUGAACGCUAGCGGCAGGCUUAACACAUGCGAGUCGAGGGGCAGCAUAAAUAGUAGCAAUACUAUUGGUGGCGACCGGCGGACGGGUGCGUAACGCGUAUACAACCUUCCCUAAACAGGGGGAUAAUCUGGAGAAAUUCGGUCUAAUACCCCAUAACAUCAGAGCAGGCAUCUGUUUUGGUUAAAAUUUCCGGAGGUUUAGGAUGGGUAUGCGUAGCAUUAGCUAGUUGGUGAGGUAACGGCUCACCAAGGCGACGAUGCUUAGGGGGACUGAGAGGUUAACACCCCACACUGGUACUGAGACACGGACCAGACUCCUACGGGAGGCAGCAGUGAGGAAUAUUGGUCAAUGGGCGGAAGCCUGAACCAGCCAUGCCGCGUGCAGGACGACGGCUCUAUGAGUUGUAAACUGCUUUUGUACGAGGGUAAAGUGGGCUACGUGUAGCCUUUUGAAAGUAUCGUACGAAUAAGGAUCGGCUAACUCCGUGCCAGCAGCCGCGGUAA
Molecule: ribosomal RNA, 504 nt
Filed under: uncultured bacterium
Lineage: Bacteria
Description: partial 16S ribosomal RNA
Rfam family: Bacterial small subunit ribosomal RNA
Source: RNAcentral